Molecule: long non-coding RNA, 1638 nt
Filed under: Cricetulus griseus (Chinese hamster)
Lineage: Eukaryota; Metazoa; Chordata; Mammalia; Rodentia; Cricetidae
Description: lncRNA (ENSCGRG00015039053.1)
Source: RNAcentral
GUAGGUGACACCCUCCCCUCUGUCACCCCCACCCACCCCACCCCCGGGGUCAUCUUCACUUCUGAGGAGACUUGCCACAGUCAGCACCGAUCCAGCCCUGUGGGUUGAGAGUUUGCCGUGGUAAAUGAUUUUUUUUUUCUUCUUUCCUGCCUUAAAAGAGUCUUCCGGAAGCUUGUGUGGUCAUACACACCUGUAAUACCAGCACUUGGAAGACGAAGGCAGGAGGGCAAAGAAUUCAACGUUUGUUAGAUAACCUCCAGAAAUGCACAAACACAUAGAGAAAGCUGGAUGGUAGCUGGAGGCCUCAACCUGGUUCCCUCUUUCUGGGUGACUACCGAGCCAACCUGGCCUUGGCUGUGCAAACGCAGAGGGAUACACCCUCAAAUAUGCCAAGGAACUGUGUCCUGAUCACAAACAGCUGUGUGGACACAGAUGGACAUCAUGGGUCUGAUGCCUGGUCCUGCCCUCUCCCUUUGAAACUGACCCAGGUCUCCAGAGCCAGCUGUCUGCAGAAGUCUAGCAUGACUCAGGGACAGCAGUGACUCCCACAAAGGACUAACUAUAGCUGUGUGACCGGGUUUACAGUUCAGCUCAGAGGAGCUUACUCAGACUGCGUGAGGGAGCCCAGCCUGGCAGCAUGCCUGCAACAGCCUCCCCCAGAGUCUCCACCUCCCCUGAGUGCCACAGCAUUAGCCUUACACCCUUCCCCACCCCCCCAGGGAAAAGAGUGUGGUGCUCAACUCCCUCAGGCUGCUCCUCGGGGUUUCUCGUAUGCGUCAGUUCUUGAAACAACUCGCCCCGCAUUCAGCUCACAUGUCCAGUUUAUAAAAUCAAACCUCAAUUUGGAACAGGGCACAGUAGUACAUACAUGUAAUCCCAGCACUGCAGAGGUGAGGGCAGAGUUGUCCAAGGCCAGCCUCAGCUACAUAGUAAUUUUGAAAGCAGCUGUGUAAAACUGUGUCUACCCCACCCCUGCCCCCCCUCCAAAAAAUGACAACCAAACCUCAACUCGGGUCCCUGAAAACUUAGUCCGUGAAAACAUAUUGAGUAAGCACUUGUUAACGGCUUAGUGGCCUACAUGGCAAUAUUGGGAAGUGCCAAGAACUAGUGAGAUGGUUAGAUCACUGGGGAUGCACCCUGAAAAGAGGCUGGCACUUGCCUCCUGUGACAAGAGCCUGCAUGAGGAAAAUCCUGUUGUGGCUCAUGGUUGUCAGGGGGAUGUGGUCCAGCACGGGAGAAAAUAUGGCAGAGCAGAGCAGCCCGUGGCUCGCAGCAGCAGGAGCCUCAGCCUGCUUGUGCACAUCUGGGAGCAUCAGAAACCCACCAGACAGCAAGCUGGGCCUGGCUGCAACUCUUCACAGCCCAUCCUAAAGCAUCCAUCUUCAUCCAGCUGGAUACCACACCCUAAAGGUGCCACAGUCUCCCAAACAGCACCACCAGCCAGGGACCAGGUAUUCAAAUGGUUGACCACUUAGAAUGAGAAGUGCAAGCCAGGAAGUGGUGGCCCACACCUUUAAUCCCAGCACUGGGAUUAAAGCAGAGGCCUGUGGAUCUCUGUUGAGUUCAAGGACAGCCUGGUCUACACAGAGAAACCUGUCUUGAAGAGAAAAAACAAAAAAAGUAAAAUGCUUCCACUAC